GCGGGCAUCUUAGGGAAUAAGAAUACUUGACUUUUAAUCAAGUUGUCCGGGGUUCGAAUCCCCGAUGCUUCA
Molecule: transfer RNA, 72 nt
Filed under: Caudoviricetes sp.
Lineage: Duplodnaviria; Heunggongvirae; Uroviricota; Caudoviricetes
Description: tRNA-Lys
Rfam family: tRNA
About the family: Transfer RNA (tRNA) molecules are approximately 80 nucleotides in length.
Source: RNAcentral